Molecule: long non-coding RNA, 2614 nt
Organism: Triticum aestivum (bread wheat)
Lineage: Eukaryota; Viridiplantae; Streptophyta; Magnoliopsida; Poales; Poaceae
Exons: 7
Source: RefSeq, a predicted model, not a curated record
CCACACCAUUCUCCCACUCCCACUCCCACUCCAGUAGGCAAGCCGCCACGUUUCCCCACUAGAAAUGAAAUGAGAGAUCCACAUCACGACCGCCGCUUCUCCGGCGACGCGCGCCGGAGGCAUCUUCCUCGACGUCGACACCAUCUCCGGUGCAGGCGCGCCGGAGGCAUCUUCCAUCGACGUCCACGGCCAAGAGGCGCCUCGCUUCCGGACGUCACCAAAACUCCCGCCGACGGCCGGCGCUGGCUCCGGCGACAUCACACCAUGCCGUGUACGUACGGUGCGCCGACGCCUUUGUCUCGAUGGCCACCGUGCGUCGCUUCCCUUCCCGAGGCCGUCGACACCAACCAAGCCCCGGGCCUCACGCCACACGGAUCCGGUCACCGGCGGUCGCGCGGGUAUCCUGACCCGGAUCCGGUGACCCUUGGUGUGAAUACCGCCUCUUGUGCGAAACCAAGCACCUUCACCGGACGGGCCGCCCGUUAGCGGGCCGUAACGCGCCCUGGGCCGAAUUCUUCUUCUCUCGUCUACAAAGCCGGCCCGCUAACUGUUGCUCGGUCCAUCAAAGACCUAGCCGCGGCCGACGCCACUCCGCUCCGCUCCGCUCCACCGGCCGAGCGCUCGGCGGGGGCGGCGGAACCUCGCCGGCGACGACCUCCGCCCAUCGUUCACCUCUAUCUCAGGGGGUCGUCGGCGGCGUCGGCGGCGGAAGGAGGCAAUCCUUUCCGCGUCGUCGGUUGGUUCCCUGCGGCGGAGGGGGCCGCCUCGUUGGUUGGAUCCCAGCGGUGGAGUGAGGCAAGCCAGUCCUCGUCGUUGGUUCGAUCCCGGCGGCGGAGGGAGGCAACCCCGUCCGCCUCGUUGGGUGGUUCCCGGCUGUGGUGGGAGGCAACCCUGUCUGCCUUGUCGGUUGCUUCCUUGUGAGACGUGCCUGCAGCUGCUUCUGGUAGGAGGUGAAGGGAGGCAGCAAAGUUACCUGGAGCAGGGGAGGCCAAAUCCUCCAAGCGAGCACAUUACUUGAGGAACCUCGCCGGUGACGACUGCGCCCAUUGGCCAUCGCAUCUGAGGGGUCGGCGGCGGCAGAGGGAGGCAAACCAGUCCGCAUCCUUGGUUGGUUCCCCGCAGUGGAAGGAGGCAACCCCGGCUGCCUUGUAGGUUUCUUCCUUGUGGCGUGGUGCCUGCAGCUUGUUCCUGUAGGAGGUGAAGAGAGACAUCAGAGUUACCUGGUGCAGGGUGCGAAAGGGGGAGGCUGAAUCCUCUUAAGCAAUCACAAUCAUGUCUACAAGUACAAAACAGGCUGAUCGGGAGCUGAAAAAGUUCCACGAUGCACAAUGUGAAGCAUAUAGAGCAGCUGUCGCCAAUUCUCUUAAGGCAAUUUUUGCUGAGACAGUUCUCCAUACAUUUCUGUUUCCUAUUGAGCCAACAGCUGCGGACUUUCAAAGUUUGUACCAGUUGAGGGAUGUGAGAUAUGUCAACAAUUCUUCUAUGCUUCUUUCCGUUACAAAAGAGGAUGGCAAGUCUGAGACCAAGGUUCCAGUCACGCCAAAACACCACAAAGAGCUUGAGAAACAGUCGUUCCAUUCGAUAUCGAUCCAAUGUGGUGAUGGAGCAGUUAUGGAGAUAUUAAUACGUGAAAGCGAUAAUUAUGUUGUCGCGUUCCGCGUGUAUUUCUCCAUUCAAGCUAAGGAUAUAACCCCAUGGAGAACUUUCCGGGAGCCGGUGCCUAUUCGACUGGGAAAAUCAGACCCAACAAAAUACUCCUCUAGCCAUGUGAAACUUGGAAGGGUGCAAUUUGGUAAAGGAAUUCUCCUGAGAAUCUUCAAUUUUCUUAAGAUUUGCAGCUCCAUCCUGACCAAGAAAUCACAGAUGAAGGUCAGAGAUUAGUUUGCACUCUCUUCGUUCUGUUUGGUGAAGCACAGCGAUUUGCCAAGGCUAGGAAGUGGGUCAUUGAUGCUGUUGCUAGUGACAUUGCUCUGACCCUUAGUCCUCCAUUAGCUAAACUUUUCAGAGAUUGGAAGGGGAUGUCAAAAACUGGAAUGAGGUUAUACGUUGCUUUGUAUGAGGAAAGGAAUCUAUUCAUCAAAUACAAAGAAAGAUAUGGGAGUCAAGUUGACUACUUUAAUCCUUAUGAAGAUGUUGUCAAGGAGGCAAAGGAAGCAUGUAUAGAUAAGGAGCGGGAGCACCACAGAGCGAAUUUGUGCUUCCGGACAAGGCCAACUGCGGAGGUUGAUCUAUCAUUCUUGCUAGGUGGGGAGCUUUUGUUGGAUACGAAGAAUUCUCUUGCAAGGCAUUAAUACGGGAAGGCAGUGAGUAUGAUGCUCCAUGGCCGGAUGCAAAAAAGGUGAUAUGGGAGUGAGGGACUGCAAUCCGAUGCCCUGGGAGUGAGUGAUACGCAAUACAUAAUUUUGUGCAUGCUGUAACUGGCUGCUCUGAACAUCUCAGUUUGUUAACUGAAUAUAUAGUAAGGGAGGGAGUUGCUGUCAACCUCUGAGUUUGUCAACUGAUUAUGUAUUGCGUCCUUUGUCCACUGAUGCCAGUAUGGAUGCGGUUGACAGUAAUAUUUCUUUAAAAAAUCUUUGUCCACUAAUGCGGUUAAAUCUAGUUUGUUAAUUGAUUA